GACGAACGCUGGCGGCGCGCCUAAUACAUGCAAGUCGAACGAGUACGGACUUCGGUCCAUAUGUACGAGUGGCGAACGGGUGAGUAACACGUGAGAAACCUGCCUCGGAGAUCGGGACAACCAUUGGAAACGAUGGCUAAUACCGAAUGCCCUCUUUUGGUCGCAUGACCGAAUGAGGAAAUGAUCCGUCGCUCCGGGAGGGUCUCGCGGCCUAUCAGCUUGUUGGUGAGGUAACGGCUCACCAAGGCAUCGACGGGUAGCUGGUCUGAGAGGACGAUCAGCCACACUGGGACUGAGACACGGCCCAGACUCCUACGGGAGGCAGCAGUAGGGAAUCUUGCACAAUGGGCGAAAGCCUGAUGCAGCGACGCCGCGUGGGGGAUGAAGGCCUUCGGGUUGUAAACUCCUUUCAGUAGGGACGAAAAUGACGGUACCUACAGAAGAAGCUCCGGCCAACUACG
RNAcentral lists this ribosomal RNA (461 nucleotides) under uncultured Acidimicrobiales bacterium. RNAcentral describes it as "bacterial SSU rRNA". It matches the Rfam family "Bacterial small subunit ribosomal RNA", at positions 28 to 505 of the family's 1533-position model. The record is from RNAcentral. Lineage: Bacteria; Bacillati; Actinomycetota; Acidimicrobiia; Acidimicrobiales.